UAAAUUGAGAGUUUGAUCCUGGCUCAGGAUGAACGCUGGCGGCGUGCUUAACACAUGCAAGUCGAGCGAUGAAGUUUCCUUCGGGAAACGGAUUAGCGGCGGACGGGUGAGUAACACGUGGGUAACCUGCCUCAUAGAGUGGAAUAGCCUUCCGAAAGGAAGAUUAAUACCGCAUAACGUUGAAAGAUGGCAUCAUCAUUCAAUCAAAGGAGCAAUCCGCUAUGAGAUGGACCCGCGGCGCAUUAGCUAGUUGGUGGGGUAACGGCCUACCAAGGCGACGAUGCGUAGCCGACCUGAGAGGGUGAUCGGCCACAUUGGGACUGAGACACGGCCCAGACUCCUACGGGAGGCAGCAGUGGGGAAUAUUGCACAAUGGGGG
This 379-nucleotide ribosomal RNA is filed under the name Clostridium perfringens. RNAcentral's name for it is "bacterial SSU rRNA". It matches the Rfam family "Bacterial small subunit ribosomal RNA", at positions 1 to 377 of the family's 1533-position model. The record is from RNAcentral. Lineage: Bacteria; Bacillati; Bacillota; Clostridia; Eubacteriales; Clostridiaceae.